Molecule: ribosomal RNA, 264 nt
Filed under: uncultured bacterium
Lineage: Bacteria
Description: partial 16S ribosomal RNA
Rfam family: Bacterial small subunit ribosomal RNA
Source: RNAcentral
CGGGACGGGGUGGAGUAACGUAGUGGGCGAACCUACGCCCUGCACUGGGGAAUAAUCAUUGGAAACGAUGACUAAUACCGCAUACGGUUCCUGGGAGGCAUCUUCCGGGAAAGAAAGGAUUUAUUCGGUGCAGGAUGGGCCCGCAUCUGAUUAGCUAGUUGGUGAGAUAACAGCCCACCAAGGCGACGAUCAGUAGCCGACCUGAGAGGGUGACCGGCCACAUUGGGACUGAGACACGGCCCAAACUCCUACGGAAGGCAGCAG